AAAAAUUUCCGAAUGUUCUAAAAAUUAUCGCAUAAAAAAUUAUCGUAGGUUUGGAUUCGAACCCAAGCUAACUAGGUUCACUCAAAUCUAUAAAAGGCUAGUGUACUCUUUGUACAGACUCUAUUCAGCAGCCUAGACUUUUCGGUACAUCGGUGAAAUCAUUCUAUAGGUUUGUUCCAGUUCCAGUGUUUGAAAGCAUUCUAUAGCAAAUCGGAGUGAAAAGGAGGAAGAAUUUUUUGCUCCAGAGCAACAGGGAGUGACUUCCGUGUACUGGAACAAACCUUAUGUAUGCAAGAUUGGUGCAGACAGUAAGCUAAGUGUUUAGUAUUCGACGGGUUGCUGGAUCGGAUACAGCUAGGGCCGAGGUGGUGGCUCAUACAUCCUUGACCUGACGGACAAAACUAUGGUGCCUUGAGCACAGGCAACGCAGGUCCAAUGCCAUCAUUGAAAUGAUAAGUUCUGCGUUUGAGAUGCACUUCCCCCGGUUGCCAGACGAAUACCUGUAAUUAUUGCUUGUUACCUUGUAUGCAUAAAUCUGAUUGUGAGUCCUGUGGUGGUGUCUACGUGGAAGGCGUGAGUCUUAGCGUUGGAGUCUAGGGGUGCAUAUCUAUCUGUAUUGGCGUGGACGUUUACUAAUUAUGUAGUAGUGUGAUCGCGAAGGACUCGAGCAUUUGAAUGCUAGCGUGUUUCUAACUUUGCGUGCAUAAAUUCUAUUUUAGAUUCGUGUGGCCAUUUGCAUAUUCGCGUGUAUUCUUGAACGAUCGCGCGGGGCCCGUGAAUCUGACAAUUAAUUUUAGUGUAUGGUAAAUGAACGUGUUGUCUGUGUGAAUAUGAGCAUCAUUCUUGA
This is a long non-coding RNA of Topomyia yanbarensis, 847 nucleotides long. RefSeq lists it as uncharacterized. NCBI's taxonomy places the organism in Eukaryota, Metazoa, Arthropoda, Insecta, Diptera, Culicidae. The record is from RefSeq and is a predicted model, not a curated record. The transcript has 3 exons.